AUUGAACGCUGGCGGCAGGCUUAACACAUGCAAGUCGAGCGGGGUGAUGGUGCUUGCACUAUCACUUAGCGGCGGACGGGUGAGUAAUGCUUAGGAAUCUGCCUAUUAGUGAGGGACAACAUCUCGAAAGGGAUGCUAAUACCGCAUACGUCCUACGGGAGAAAGCAGGGGAUCACUUGUGACCUUGCGCUAAUAGAUGAGCCUAAGUCGGAUUAGCUUGUUGGUGGGGUAAAGGCCUACCAAGGCGACGAUCUGUAGCGGGUCUGAGAGGAUGAUCCGCCACACUGGGACUGAGACACGGCCCAGACUCCUACGGGAGGCAGCAGUGGGGAAUAUUGGACAAUGGGGGGAACCCUGAUCCAGCCAUGCCGCGUGUGUGAAGAAGGCCUUAUGGUUGUAAAGCACUUUAAGCGAGGAGGAGGCUCUUUUGGUUAAUACCCAAGAUGAGUGGGCGUUACUCGCAGAAUAAGCACCGGCUAACUCUGUGCCAGCAGCCGCGGUAA
RNAcentral lists this ribosomal RNA (503 nucleotides) under uncultured bacterium. Its description in RNAcentral is "partial 16S ribosomal RNA". It matches the Rfam family "Bacterial small subunit ribosomal RNA", at positions 30 to 523 of the family's 1533-position model. The record is from RNAcentral.